This 301-nucleotide ribosomal RNA is filed under the name uncultured bacterium. RNAcentral's name for it is "partial 16S ribosomal RNA". It matches the Rfam family "Bacterial small subunit ribosomal RNA", at positions 509 to 807 of the family's 1533-position model. The record is from RNAcentral.
CAGCAGCCACGGUAAGACAGAGGAUGCAAGCGUUAUCCGGAAUGAUUGGGCGUAAAGCGUGCGCAGGCGGUUCGUUAAGACAGAUGUGAAAUCCCCGGGCUUAACCUGGGAACUGCAUUUGUGACUGGCGAGCUAGAGUAUGGCAGAGGGGGGUAGAAUUCCACGUGUAGCAGUGAAAUGCGUAGAGAUGUGGAGGAAUACCGAUGGCGAAGGCAGCCCCCUGGGCCAAUACUGACGCUCAUGCACGAAAGCGUGGGGAGCAAACAGGAUUAGAUACCCCGGUAGUCCCUGUCUCUUAUAC